GUGGAUGUAGCUCAAUGGCAGAGCGCCGCACUGUGGCUGCGGAUGUUGCGGGUUCGAGACCCGUCUUCCACCCCA
Molecule: transfer RNA, 75 nt
Filed under: Herpetosiphonaceae bacterium
Lineage: Bacteria; Bacillati; Chloroflexota; Chloroflexia; Herpetosiphonales; Herpetosiphonaceae
Description: tRNA-His
Rfam family: tRNA
About the family: Transfer RNA (tRNA) molecules are approximately 80 nucleotides in length.
Source: RNAcentral